RNAcentral lists this ribosomal RNA (207 nucleotides) under uncultured bacterium. Its description in RNAcentral is "partial 16S ribosomal RNA". It matches the Rfam family "Bacterial small subunit ribosomal RNA", at positions 568 to 774 of the family's 1533-position model. The record is from RNAcentral.
UGCGUAGGCGGACUCUUAAGUCAGUGGUGAAAGCCCAUAGCUCAACUAUGGAACUGCCAUUGAAACUGGGAGUCUUGAAUUCGAUUGAGGCAGAUAGAAUAUAACAUGUAGCGGUGAAAUGCUUAGAUAUGUUAUAGAAUACCGAUUGCGAAGGCAGUCUGCUAAGUCGACAUUGACGCUGAGGCACGAAAGCGUGGGGAGCGAACA